AGGAGAUAUGUCUUAUUUCCCAACCGUGUUACACGCACGCCUCCACACUUUGUUUUGUUUAACCUCUUCUUAACUUUGGACGUACAUUGAAAAUACCCGGUACACGCAACCCUAACUCAAAAUGCCGGACAUUUGAGGCAUUUAAAAAAACCCGCCCGGACACCCCCGCAAAAGAGGACAUGUCCGGGGAAAAGAGGACGUAUGAAAGAAAAGCGCUCGGCACUGUGAUGGUCGAUGAGGCUAAACAUCUAUGGAACAGCAGCUCGCAAAAAAUCCUGUACAUUUGGCUUCUGUAUUGACAUGUGGGUGAUAUCCUGAUCAAUUGGAGAGAGGAAGAGAAAGAGAGAAGGAGGAGAGGGAGAGGUGAAGAUGUCCAGUGCGAUCCUCAGUGAAGGCGUUGGACUCCAUACCUCGGCUCUCUUCUGUCCCGGACCUCAAUCUGAGAAAACAAAACAGACUUAAUUCACCUCAUUUCAGCUGAUCAGCUCCGUCCUGUUCCUCUUUCGUUCCUUCCCUGCACCCGGUGUGCUUCCCGCAAGGCUUAAUCAGAGAGAUUCAAGCAUCCUGACGCAACGUCGUGCAAAAAGAG
Molecule: long non-coding RNA, 589 nt
Organism: Entelurus aequoreus (snake pipefish)
Lineage: Eukaryota; Metazoa; Chordata; Actinopteri; Syngnathiformes; Syngnathidae
Exons: 4
Source: RefSeq, a predicted model, not a curated record